GAUGAACGCUGGCGGCGUGCUUAACACAUGCAAGUCGAACGGAAAGGCUCCUGCUUGCAGGGGUUCUCGAGUGGCGAACGGGUGAGUAACACGUGGGUGAUCUGCCCUGCACUUUGGGAUAAGCCUGGGAAACUGGGUCUAAUACCGGAUAGGACGAUGGUUGUGAUGCUUUUGUGGAGAGUUUUUCGGUGUGGGCUGAGCUCGCGGCCUAUCAGCUUGUUGGUGGGGUAAUGGUUUACUAAGGCGUCGACGGGUAGCCGGCGUGAGAGGGUGUACGGCCACAUUGGGACUGAGAUACGGCCCAGACUCCUACGGGAGGCAGCAGUGGGGAAUAUUGCACAAUGGGCGCAAGCCUGAUGCAGCGACGCCGCGUGGGGGAUGACGGCCUUCGGGUUGUAAACUCCUUUCGCUAGGGACGAAGCGCAAGUGACGGUACCUGGAGAAGAAGCACCGGCUAACUACGUG
This 465-nucleotide ribosomal RNA is filed under the name uncultured bacterium. RNAcentral's name for it is "partial 16S ribosomal RNA". It matches the Rfam family "Bacterial small subunit ribosomal RNA", at positions 28 to 507 of the family's 1533-position model. The record is from RNAcentral.